RNAcentral lists this ribosomal RNA (497 nucleotides) under uncultured bacterium. RNAcentral's name for it is "partial 16S ribosomal RNA". It matches the Rfam family "Bacterial small subunit ribosomal RNA", at positions 28 to 507 of the family's 1533-position model. The record is from RNAcentral.
GAUGAACGCUGGCGGCGUGCCUAACACAUGCAAGUCGAGCGAACGCAGGAGGCGCUUUCCUGUCUGAUGUUCGCGGCGGGCAGGUGUGUAAAACGUGUAUAACCCUGCUAUAUGAAUGGGAUAACUUACGGAAACCGGUGCUAAAUACGGCAUAACUUCUGAACCCCAUGGUUCAAAAGUGUCGGACGGUCUUCCAGUCACUUAUCGCUGGAUCCGGGCUGCAUUAGCUAGUAGGUAAGGUAACGGCUUACCCAGGCCACGAUGCAUAGCCGACCUGAGAGGGUGAUCAGCCACACUGGAACUGAGACACGGUCCAGACUCCUACGGGAGGCAGCAGUGGGGAAUCUUCCGCAAAGGGCGAAAGCCUGAUGGAGCAACGCCGCGUGUGUGAUGAAGGUCUUCGGAUCGUAAAACUCUGUUAGCAGGGAAGAAGAGAUGUAUGAGAAAAUGUGCGCAUAUUGACGUUACCUGAACAAGAAGCCCCGGCUAACUACGUG